GAUGAACGCUGGCGGCGUGCCUAAUACAUGCAAGUCGAGCGAACGGACGAGAAGCUUGCUUCUCUGAUGUUAGCGGCGGACGGGUGAGUAACACGUGGAUAACCUACCUAUAAGACUGGGAUAACUUCGGGAAACCGUAGCUAAUACCGGAUAAUAUUUUGAACCGCAUGGUUCAAAAGUGAAAGACGGUCUUGCUGUCACUUAUAGAUGGAUCCGCGCUGCAUUAGCUAGUUGGUAAGGUAACGGCUUACCAAGGCAACGAUGCAUAGCCGACCUGAGAGGGUGAUCGGCCACACUGGAACUGAGACACGGUCCAGACUCCUACGGGAGGCAGCAGUAGGGAAUCUUCCGCAAAGGGCGAAAGCCUGACGGAGCAACGCCGCGUGAGUGAUGAAGGUCUUCGGAUCGUAAAACUCUGUUAUUAGGGAAGAACAUAUGUGUAAGUAACUGUGCACAUCCUGACGGUACCUAAUCAGAAAGCCACGGCUAACUACGUG
Molecule: ribosomal RNA, 497 nt
Filed under: uncultured bacterium
Lineage: Bacteria
Description: partial 16S ribosomal RNA
Rfam family: Bacterial small subunit ribosomal RNA
Source: RNAcentral